RNAcentral lists this ribosomal RNA (38 nucleotides) under Chaetomium globosum. Its description in RNAcentral is "partial 28S ribosomal RNA". Lineage: Eukaryota; Fungi; Ascomycota; Sordariomycetes; Sordariales; Chaetomiaceae. The record is from RNAcentral. RNAcentral also lists the same sequence under 1 other name.
UUGACCUCGGAUCAGGUAGGAAGACCCGCUGAACUUAA